GAUGAACGCUGGCGGCGUGCUUAACACAUGCAAGUCGAACGAUGAAGCCCAGCCUGCUGGGUGGAUUAGUGGCGAACGGGUGAGUAACACGUGAGUAACCUGCCCUUAACUCUGGGAUAAGCCUGGGAAACUGGGUCUAAUACCGGAUAGGAGCGUCCACCGCAUGGUGGGUGUUGGAAAGAUUUAUCGGUUUUGGAUGGACUCGCGGCCUAUCAGCUUGUUGGUGAGGUAAUGGCUCACCAAGGCGACGACGGGUAGCCGGCCUGAGAGGGUGACCGGCCACACUGGGACUGAGACACGGCCCAGACUCCUACGGGAGGCAGCAGUGGGGAAUAUUGCACAAUGGGCGAAAGCCUGAUGCAGCGACGCCGCGUGAGGGAUGACGGCCUUCGGGUUGUAAACCUCUUUCAGUAGGGAAGAAGCGAAAGUGACGGUACCUGCAGAAGAAGCACCGGCUAACUACGUG
This 466-nucleotide ribosomal RNA is filed under the name uncultured bacterium. RNAcentral's name for it is "partial 16S ribosomal RNA". It matches the Rfam family "Bacterial small subunit ribosomal RNA", at positions 28 to 507 of the family's 1533-position model. The record is from RNAcentral.